RNAcentral lists this ribosomal RNA (440 nucleotides) under uncultured bacterium. Its description in RNAcentral is "partial 16S ribosomal RNA". It matches the Rfam family "Bacterial small subunit ribosomal RNA", at positions 338 to 795 of the family's 1533-position model. The record is from RNAcentral.
CCUACGGGGGGCAGCAGUGGGGGAUAUUGCACAAUGGGCGCAAGCCUGAUGCAGCGACACCGCGUGAGCGAAGAAGUAUUUCGGUAUGUAAAGCCCUAUCAGCAGGGAAGAAAAUGACGGUACCUGACUAAGAAGCUCCGGCUAAAUACGUGACAGCCGCCGCGGUAAUAUGGAUGGAGCAAGCGUUAUCCGGAUUUACUGGGGUUAAAGGGAGCGGAGGCGGCCCUGUAAGUCCGAUGUGAAAAUUUGGGGCUCAACCCCAAACGUGCAUUGGAAACUGCAGGGCUUGAGUGCAGGAGAGGCAGGCGGAAUGCCUAGUGUAGCGGUGAAAUGCGUAGAUAUUAGGAAGAACACCAGUGGCGAAGGCGGCCUGCUGGACGGUAACUGACGCUGAGGCUCGAAAGCGUGGGGAGCAAACAGGAUUAGAUACCCUUGUAGUC